RNAcentral lists this long non-coding RNA (330 nucleotides) under Salvia miltiorrhiza (redroot sage). RNAcentral's name for it is "long non-coding RNA (SMIL_LNC013693)". Lineage: Eukaryota; Viridiplantae; Streptophyta; Magnoliopsida; Lamiales; Lamiaceae. The record is from RNAcentral.
GAGAGUUAGGGUUUGGGGUGGGGGAAGGGAGAGAGGACGAUGGGGGGGUGAUUUUCCUUUUCUUUUCUUUUUUAUUUUUUUUCCACAUGUAUUUUUUAUUUCAAUUUUUUUCAGCUUUUUUUUUUGCCACAUGUCACAAAUGAGCCAAGUGGAGAAUUCCGGCUGCCACAGUGUGAAUUCCGACUGCCAAAGUGGCAUUUCCGGCGCCGGCGUAAGAAAAAAUUGGUGAUGGGAUAAAUUUCAGACAAAAACUAAAGGUUAGGUAUUUAAAAGAAGAAAAAUAAAAAAAGGUGCAAAAACCAAUUCCGUGUAAACGUUAGGAAUUUACAG